AGCGUAGGUGGCCUAACAUGUCAACUGUGAAAAACCCCGGAGCUCAACUCCGGACUUGCAGUUGAAACUGGUAGGCUUGAGGACGGUAGAGGAAGACGGAACUGCCAGUGUAGGGGUAAAAUCCUUAGAUAUUGGCAGGAACGCCGGUGACGAAGGUGGUUUUCUGGGCCGGUUCUGACACUGAUGCUCGAAAGCCAGGGGGAGCGAACG
Molecule: ribosomal RNA, 210 nt
Filed under: uncultured Mesotoga sp.
Lineage: Bacteria; Thermotogati; Thermotogota; Thermotogae; Kosmotogales; Kosmotogaceae
Description: partial 16S ribosomal RNA
Rfam family: Bacterial small subunit ribosomal RNA
Source: RNAcentral